GUCCCUAUCUGCCGUGGGCGUUGGAGAUUUGACGGGGGCUGCUCCUAGUACGAGAGGACCGGAGUGGACGUACCGCUGGUGUACCUGUUGUUUCGCCAGAAGCAUCGCAGGGUAGCUAUGUACGGAAGAGAUAACCGCUGAAAGCAUCUAAGCGGGAAACUUGCCUGAAGAUAAGAUCUCCCGGAGGUUUAACCUCCAUAAAGGGUCGUUGAAGACCACAACGUUGAUAGGUCAGGUGUGGAAGCGCAGUAAUGCGUUAAGCUAACUGAUACUAAUUGCCCGUUAGGCUUGAUCCUAUAACC
This 302-nucleotide ribosomal RNA is filed under the name Candidatus Allofontibacter lacus. Its description in RNAcentral is "partial 23S ribosomal RNA". It matches the Rfam family "Bacterial large subunit ribosomal RNA", at positions 2634 to 2925 of the family's 2925-position model. Lineage: Bacteria; Pseudomonadati; Pseudomonadota; Alphaproteobacteria; Candidatus Pelagibacterales; Candidatus Pelagibacteraceae. The record is from RNAcentral.